CUUCUCCCUCCGGAGGGAGGCGAGGCCGCGACGGGCCGGCGGGCGCUGCGGUCGGCCCCAGGCGCCUGGGUGCACCUCAGAUGCAAGGACUAGAGAAACCCGCGGACGCCAGGGCCACUUCCGUGUCACGUCGCGGGUGAUGCGCCAUCUCAGGAGCGCUAUGUGCCCUCCUGUGGUCAGCGCGAGGGAACUCUGACCUCCGCAAGCCUGAGGAGGACGACGUGGGGCCCCAGGCCCUGCCGGGUUCUGUUAGCCUCUGGCGGGAGCGCGGCAUGGAGCGGGGAGGUUCCUGCCAGGAAGCCUCACGGACGGGGACACCACCGGACACCUCCUACGCCCAUAUGUGAGGUUCUGGACAACCUGUUGGGGACCCAGCCGGCACAGGCCGAUUACACUGACCAUAUUUUAUUUCCUAUGUUCUUUUUUAUUUUUUCUUAACAGUACUUUUAUUGCAACAUCAUGUAACUUACUGAACUGUUUACAAAUGCAACGCUCGGCCUUCGAGACGAUUAAAAAAAAAAAAUUAAGAACUAGAAUUUUACAUCGUGA
This 549-nucleotide long non-coding RNA is filed under the name Marmota monax (woodchuck). The record is from RNAcentral. Lineage: Eukaryota; Metazoa; Chordata; Mammalia; Rodentia; Sciuridae.